UGGGGAAUAUUGGACAAUGGGCGAAAGCCUGAUCCAGCCAUGCCGCGUGUGUGAAGAAGGUCUUCGGAUUGUAAAGCACUUUAAGUUGGGAGGAAGGGCAUUAACCUAAUACGUUAGUGUUUUGACGUUACCGACAGAAUAAGCACCGGCUAACUCUGUGCCAGCAGCCGCGGUAAUACAGAGGGUGCAAGCGUUAAUCGGAAUUACUGGGCGUAAAGCGCGCGUAGGUGGUUUGUUAACUUGGAUGUGAAAUCCCCGGGCUCAACCUGGGAACUGCAUUCAAAACUGACUGACUAGAGUAUGGUAGAGGGUGGUGGAAUUUCCUGUGUAG
Molecule: ribosomal RNA, 331 nt
Filed under: uncultured bacterium
Lineage: Bacteria
Description: partial 16S ribosomal RNA
Rfam family: Bacterial small subunit ribosomal RNA
Source: RNAcentral